GCAUAACGCGAAGAACCUUACCAGGUCUUGACAUCCUCUGAAUAUCCUAGAGAUAGGGUAGGCCUUCGGGACAGAGGAGACAGGUGGUGCAUGGUUGUCGUCAGCUCGUGUCGUGAGAUGUUGGGUUAAGUCCCGCAACGAGCGCAACCCUUGAUCUUAGUUGCCAGCAUUCAGUUGGGCACUCUAAGGUGACUGCCGGUGACAAACCGGAGGAAGGUGGGGAUGACGUCAAAUCAUCAUGCCCCCUUAUGACCUGGGCUACACACGUACUACAAUGGUCGGUACAAAGGGCAGCGAAGCCGCGAGGUGGAGCCAAUCCCAUAAAGCCGNUCUCAGUUCGGAUUGCAGGCUGCAACUCGCCUGCAUGAAGUCGGAAUUGCUAGUAAACGCGGAUCAGCAUGCCGCGGUGAAUACGUUCCCGGGUCUUGUACACACCG
Molecule: ribosomal RNA, 437 nt
Filed under: uncultured bacterium
Lineage: Bacteria
Description: bacterial SSU rRNA
Rfam family: Bacterial small subunit ribosomal RNA
Source: RNAcentral